This 77-nucleotide transfer RNA is filed under the name Clostridia bacterium. Its description in RNAcentral is "tRNA-Arg". It matches the Rfam family "tRNA". From Rfam's summary of the family: Transfer RNA (tRNA) molecules are approximately 80 nucleotides in length. Their secondary structure includes four short double-helical elements and three loops (D, anti-codon, and T loops). Lineage: Bacteria; Bacillati; Bacillota; Clostridia. The record is from RNAcentral.
CCGCCCUUAGCUCAGCUGGAUAGAGUAUCAGAUUCCGAUUCUGAGGGUCGUAGGUUCGAAUCCUGUAGGGCGGGCCA